CCGAGAACGCGUCCUCUGGGCGCAUCUCCCACCCUUUGUCUACCAUACCUUUGUUGCUUUGGCGGGCCCGUCUCGCGACCGCCGGCUUCGGCUGGCCCGCGCCCGCCAGAGGACCACCAACUCUGAUUAUCAUGCCGUCUGAGUAUUACACAAAUACGUUA
RNAcentral lists this unclassified non-coding RNA (161 nucleotides) under uncultured fungus. RNAcentral's name for it is "sequence contains ITS1, 5.8S rRNA gene". The record is from RNAcentral. Lineage: Eukaryota; Fungi.